CCUACGGGUGGCAGCAGUCGAGAAUCAUUCACAAUGGGGGAAACCCUGAUGGUGCGACGCCGCGUGGGGGAAUGAAGGUCUUCGGAUUGUAAACCCCUGUCAUGUGGGAGCAAAUUAAAAAGAUAGUACCACAAGAGGAAGAGACGGCUAACUCUGUGCCAGCAGCCGCGGUAAUACAGAGGUCGCAAGCGUUGUUCGGAACCACUGGGCGUAAAGCGUGCGUAGGCUGUUUCGUAAGUCGGGUGUGAAAGGCGCGGGCUCAACCCGCGGACGGCACAUGAUACUGCGAGACUAGAGUAAUGGAGGGGGAACCGGAAUUCUCGGUGUAGCAGUGAAAUGCGUAGAUAUCGAGAGGAACACUCGUGGCGAAGGCGGGUUACUGGACAUUAACUGACGCUGAGGCACGAAGGCCAGGGGAGCGAAAGGGAUUAGAUACCCCAGUAGUC
RNAcentral lists this ribosomal RNA (446 nucleotides) under uncultured bacterium. RNAcentral's name for it is "partial 16S ribosomal RNA". It matches the Rfam family "Bacterial small subunit ribosomal RNA", at positions 338 to 795 of the family's 1533-position model. The record is from RNAcentral.